AAAAGAAAAAGAAAAGAAAAGAAAAAGAAAAGUGAAGAGAAGAUAAGAUAAGAACCCCUGUGUGUUACCUCU
Molecule: non-coding RNA, 72 nt
Filed under: Triparma pacifica
Lineage: Eukaryota; Bolidophyceae; Parmales; Triparmaceae
Source: RNAcentral